This is a non-coding RNA of Malus domestica (apple), 582 nucleotides long. NCBI's taxonomy places the organism in Eukaryota, Viridiplantae, Streptophyta, Magnoliopsida, Rosales, Rosaceae. The record is from RefSeq and is a predicted model, not a curated record.
CUACCGACGCAACCUUUCCCCCUCAUUUCUGAAACCUCUCUCUCUUUAAUCUCUUAUUCUCUUUCUACAGCUCCAAGAGCUCUCAUCGUUCUUCUUCUUCGAAACCGAAGCAAAUCAAACUAACAAACUCUGAAAUCUCAAUCCCCUGGAUGAGAGAAACUCGAAUAUAUCCUUGCAUGCAUCAUUAGAGCACCAUUUGGGUGAUCCACCAUUGAAGCCGAGAGCUUCAAGCUUCCAUUGCUCAAACCCAAAUGAGCCCACGUCACAUUGCCUUCGGGUGCUCGGGCCUGCUCGGGCUCGCUCGCCAAUACACGCUGCACUUCAUCACUCGGGCUACGUACAAGGCCCUGUUCCUACGCCUGUCCCUCGAGCUGAAGCACACGGUGGACUUGCUCUUACAUGCCAGACAUAUCACCAAACAAUUGUAAUCAAUGAGAUGCGAGACAUGGUAAGCAAUUGAUAUGUAGGGAGAAGAGGUUGCAAAAAAUAGAGGGGAAAAAGAAGGGAAAAGAUCAAUUAAACAAACUGAUAUAUGUAUCUUUGCAGCAUUGUUUGGAUAUUUGUAUAAUUAUUUAAGAAAAA